CCCUUUCUCUGACUUCGGACUAAAAAAUUCAUGAAUACUCUGUACAAAUAAUUAAGUAACAAAAUCCAAAAUCGGAGCCAAACACGUACAGAAAUGGACAUGGAAAUAAAGCAGAGUCUGAUUAACAACAAUCAAACGAAUCAGACGCACAGUUGACCUCCGGAAUGCUCUGUAGAACAGGCUUCCAGCACCGCCGAUCGUCAACUUGUCCAAAUAGCCCGCGAAACUGAUCAUCGCCGCCGCCGGAGAGGAUUAACCGAGCUAGUAUCUGCUGGGAGGACAAACCCUGCGUCUCGAUUCGAGAAAUUAACUCUUCCAGCUCCCUCUUGGACACCUUGAUCUUCACCUGCUGGUCUCUUGCCCAUGAUGACGUGGAAGAAACCGGAAGUAGCCUGUUCUUGU
Molecule: long non-coding RNA, 402 nt
Filed under: Linum usitatissimum (flax)
Lineage: Eukaryota; Viridiplantae; Streptophyta; Magnoliopsida; Malpighiales; Linaceae
Description: long non-coding RNA (LUSI_LNC001596)
Source: RNAcentral